CGAGACUCUGUCUCAAUAAACAAAACAAAACAAAGAGCUUUAGAACAGUAAGGAAAGGAAGGAGAAGAAAAGUACAAUGUGGAAGAAGGCCAAGUGGUUGACCUGAGAAACCGAGUGCGCAGCUUGGCCUCUUGACUUGGGGUUUGAUACCUUGGCAUACUUCCAGGAUCUUGGAAGUAAGCUGCUUCCCACUCCGGAGAUCUUACUGGGAAGCUGCUGAUCAGUUGCAGGUGUUUUCUAUUAGGAGACUGCCUUUCCCCCGUACUGGCUGUGACCAAUUACUAAACAGAAACAGUUAACAACCACUUGACCACCACCUGAUGGUCACCCAGCACUCCUAGUGUGUGUGUGUGUGUGUGUGUGUGUGUGUGUGUGUGUGUGUGUGUGUGUGUGUGUUGGGGGGAAGUCCUUUCCUGCCCUGCUCAUACCUAACUAGCUACCUACUGUAAUAAAGCUACCAUUCAGGAACCAAGACAAAAAGGAAAAAAAUACAUUUAACAUUUACAGGUAAAUAAAAGCUGAGAAUGAGCCAAAGAAACUCCCGAAGGAUGUACCUCAAGAAGGAAGAUGAUUCCAGGUCAGCCUAAGAUGCAAGAAGAAGGAAUGAUACCUUAAAGCAAAUGAGAAGACAAGCUAAAUCUGGGAGGAGACAUAUACACAUAUACAUGCAUAAUCAGGAUUGGUAUCAAAAACCCCUAUGAACUAGCAAGAAAAGGAAAAAUGUGCAAAAAAGCCAUGAACCAGCAUUUCACCAAAGAUGAAACAGCUAUGGCCAAAAAUUAUGACAAGAUGCUUAAUUAAGCCCACUGGCUAUUAGGCACGUGGAAGUCAAGACCACAACGAGACAUCAUCUUUCACGCAUUUGAUGGGUAAACAUUAUGAUGUCUGACACUGCUAAAUGUUGGCGAGGACGUGGAUCAACAGGAACUCUCAAAAUUGCUGGCAAAGGAGGGGGCACUGUUUCUAAGAAGAGUGAUGAUACCACCGUAUUUUUGAAAAAUGAUGAAACAGCGUGGGGGAAACUGCUAUGUCUUCCAUAUUCAGGCUUUUUCUUCUCCAAGCCCAUUUCCUCCCUAGCAAUGAUAAGAGGAAACACUCCCGGUGAGUCAGAUGCUCUCUAAAUAUUUUUGCUCAUUGAAUGUUGACACCAGCCCUGUGUUUAGUAUCAUACUGGGAACACGCAUGAGGAGCUGAAGCACAGACAGGUUAAGUGGCUCGCCCAGGGUCAUACAGCUACUCAGUGCUGGAGCCGAGAUCACACCAGGCUCUGCUUCCCCACCAGAACCAUGAGAGGUUGGGAGUGACCCUACUGGACAGGGAUAUCUGAGGUGGGAGGGGCUGUGUGUGUGUUCAUGCUGAGGCCGGCAUGCUUAGAACAUCAACCUCAAUUUUCCUCCCCACAGGGUCUGGCGGGGAGGCAGGGAGCAAGGUCGUUAAGGGUGGGCAGGGUGAGGGGGAGAUUCCCUGACAGCCUGGGUUCUGCCCCUCACUUGCUACAGCCCCAUGCAAGCCUCUUGGCCUCUCUGAGGCUCUGUAUUCUCACCUGUCAAAUGGGGGUUGUCCUGGGUGUUACUUCAAAGGCUGAUGAGAAAGGAGUGAGUGGGCUGGCUCGCAGCCUGGCGUGACAAGCAAUGCAUAAAUGUAUGCCGUAUGAGUCACCUGUCCACAGUGGCCCCAGCAGCUCUCUCUAGCAGGGCUUGGCCAAGACUAGGCCCUCAGAGUGUAAGAAAACUCCUGGUUUGGUGCCUAGCACACUAUAGAUGUGGCAAACUGUGUCCAAGAACGUUUUGAUGGGAGCCUGCCUGGAUGACAGAAGAUCAGAGUGUGCUGGAAUGUCCCACCCUUUCCAGCUUCCCGCAGCCAAGCCAGGCUCUGGGGUGAUCAUUCCCAUAGCAACCACCAGGGGUCAGGGCUGGCCACUUCUGCCUUCUUCCCUCAUCCUAGCGCCUGUGGGUGGCGAUGACAUCCCUGCCAUCUAUGAGGUGGAGCAUUUCCAACAAGAGCAGGUCUGAGGCCCUGGCUUGACUUUCCCAGUCCUGUUAAAGAAGAACAUUGGGAUACCCAACUGUUCUAGCACCAUUUAUUGAAAAGUCAACUCUUCCUUCAAUAUUCAGAAAUGUCACCUCUGUCAUAAACCAGGCAGCCACAUGUGUAUUAGACUGCUGAGUCUUGCCCUGUUGCCCAGGCUGGAGUGCAA
RNAcentral lists this long non-coding RNA (2197 nucleotides) under Homo sapiens (human). Its description in RNAcentral is "HSALNT0386348". Lineage: Eukaryota; Metazoa; Chordata; Mammalia; Primates; Hominidae. The record is from RNAcentral.